RNAcentral lists this ribosomal RNA (659 nucleotides) under uncultured archaeon. RNAcentral describes it as "bacterial SSU rRNA". It matches the Rfam family "Archaeal small subunit ribosomal RNA", at positions 82 to 725 of the family's 1478-position model. The record is from RNAcentral.
UGUACGGCUCCGUAACACGUAGUUAAUCUGCCCUCGGGACAAGAAUAACCCUGGGAAACUGGGGCUAAUUCUCGAUAGGCGCAGUGGCCUGGAAUGGUACUGCACCCAAAAGACUUUAGGAACAUGCUCUUAGAGUCGCCCAAGGAUGGGACUGCGGCCGAUCAGGUUGUUGGUGGGGUAACGGCCUACCAAGCCUAUAACCGGUACGGGCCCUGAGAGGGGGAGCCCGGAGAUGGGAACUGAGACAAGGUCCCAGGUCCUACGGGGCGCAGCAGGCGCGAAAACUCCACAAUGUGCGAAAGCAUGAUGGGGUUAACCCGAGUGCCGUCCGAUGAGGAUGGCUUUUCUUCAGUUUAAGGAUCUGGAGGAAUAAAGGGGGGGCAAGACUGGUGUCAGCCGCCGCGGUAAUACCAGCCCCCUGAGUGGUAGGGACGAUUAUUUGGCCUAAAGCGUCCGUAGCCUGUUUGGAAAGUCUUUCGUCAAACCCGACGAUUCCAUCGUCGGCCCGCGGAAGAUACUGCCAGACUUGAGGACGGGAGAGGUCGACGGUAGUCCCAGGGUAGGGGUGAAAUCCUAUAAUCCUGGGAGGACCACCAGUGGCGAAGGCGGUCGACUAGAACGUGCCUGACGGUGAUGGACGAAAGCUGGGGGAGCGAACC